This 1173-nucleotide ribosomal RNA is filed under the name human metagenome. RNAcentral's name for it is "bacterial LSU rRNA". It matches the Rfam family "Bacterial large subunit ribosomal RNA", at positions 832 to 2031 of the family's 2925-position model. The record is from RNAcentral.
AUCGAACCCGGAGAUAGCUGGUUCUCCUCGAAAUAGCUUUAGGGCUAGCCUCGAUUUAGUCUUAUGGAGGUAGAGCACUGAAUUUCCGCGGGGGCGUCAAAGCUUACCAAAGAAUAUCAAACUCCGAAUGCCAUGUAGAUGAUGAUCGGGAGUCAGACUGCACGAGAUAAGUUGGGCAGUCAAAAGGGAAAGAGCCCAGACCACCGGCUAAGGUCCCAAAGUGCGUGUUAAGUGGAAAAGGAUGUGGGAAUUCGAAGACAACUAGGAUGUUGGCUCAGAAGCAGCCAUACAUUCAAAGAGUGCGUAACAGCUCACUAGUCGAGAGUUCCUGCGCCGAAAAUGUCCGGGGCUGAAACACGACACCGAAGCCGUGGACUCGCAAUGCGAGUGGUAGAGGAGCAUUCUUAAAACCGACGAAGCUGUACCGAAAGGAGCAGUGGAGGGAUAAGAAGAGAGAAUGCCGGAAUGAGUAGCGAGAGAAAGGUGGGAAUCCUUUCGGCCGAAUAUCUAAGGUUUCCAGAGUAAAGCUGAUCUGCUCUGGGUAAGUCGGGGCCUAAGCACAGGUCGCAAGACGUAAGCGAUGGAUAACAGGUUUAGAUUCCUGUACCACGCAUUAUCAGAACUGUAGGGACGCAUGUGGAAAGCACGAGCCGGGAAUGGAAAGACCGGUACAAGCGGGGUAGGUGUACAAUAGGCAAAUCCGUUGUAUAAUCCGAAGACGUGAUGUGGAGCGAAAUAAAGUAGUGAAGCGUGUGAGCCAUGUGCCGAGAAAAGCUGCUAUUGUGUAAUGCGUGCCCGUACCGUAAACCGACACAGGUGGAUGAGGAGAGAAUCCUAAGGCCGACGGAAGAAGCAUUGUUAAGGAACUCGGCAAAAUGACCCCGUAACUUCGGGAGAAGGGGUGCCUGCGAGAGCAGGCCGCAGAGAAUAGGCUCAAGCAACUGUUUAGCAAAAACACAGGUCUAUGCGAAACCGAAAGGUGAAGUAUAUGGGCUGACGCCUGCCCGGUGCUGGAAGGUUAAGAGGAGAGGUUAGCGCAAGCGAAGCUUUGAAUUUAAGCCCCAGUAAACGGCGGCCGUAACUAUAACGGUCCUAAGGUAGCGAAAUUCCUUGUCGGGUAAGUUCCGACCCGCACGAAAGGCGUAAUGAUUUGAGCGCUGUCUCGACAAUGCA